RNAcentral lists this ribosomal RNA (1053 nucleotides) under Triticum aestivum (bread wheat). RNAcentral's name for it is "partial small subunit ribosomal RNA". The record is from RNAcentral. Lineage: Eukaryota; Viridiplantae; Streptophyta; Magnoliopsida; Poales; Poaceae.
AUGCCACGCACGCCGGAGCGUCAGCGCGGCGCGGCGCACGCGAACGCGGACGGCGUGACGCGAGUGAAGAAGCCCGGCCGCGGGGAUUCAAAAUCAACGGCGGCGGAAAUUCAAAAUCCCUCCGCCUCCUGGUGCCCUCCAGCUCACCGCCAGCGUCCGCCCGCCCGUCCGGUGCCGCCCAUCACUCACUCACCCACUGCCAAGUGCCAACCCUACAUAAACCCCGGCAACCCCCUGCUCUCGCCACGACACGGCCACGGCCACUCCACUUCACUCUCCCACCUUCUCCAUCCCCCAGCUGCCGCCCACCCAAAUCAAAAUCGGCUCCACCUCCACAGCACCCAGGCACGCCGCCCGUCCGUCCACCCAUCCGGCUCGCGUGCGUGCCAUGAGGACCCUCGUGCUCGUGCCCGUCCUCCUCCUCCUGCUGGGCGCGUGCCAUGGGCAGCGGAAGAACUACGUGGUGCACCUCGAGCCGAGGGACGACGAGGGGAGCGCCGCCCUCCCGGUGGAGGACUGGCACCGCUCGUUCCUCCCCGAGGCCGCGCCGACCUCUGCCGGCGACGGCGCCGACGCCGGGCCCAGGAUCAUCUACUCCUACAGCCACGUGCUCACCGGGUUCGCGGCGCGGCUCAGCGACGCCGAGGCCGAGGCGCUGCGGGGCAGGCCGGGCUGCAUCAGGCUCUACCCCGAGGUGUUCCUCCCGCUGGCCACCACCCACUCGCCGGGCUUCCUCGGCCUGCAGACCGGCAAGGACGGCUUCUGGAGCCGCUCCGGGUUCGGCCGCGGCGUGGUGAUUGGGCUCGUCGACACCGGCAUCCUGCCCAGCCACCCCUCCUUUGGGGACGCCGGGAUGCCGCCGCCGCCCAAGAAGUGGAAGGGCGCGUGCGAGUUCAAGGCGAUUGCCGGCGCGGGGGGGUGCAACAACAAGGUCAUCGGCGCGCGCGCGUUCGGCAGCGCGGCGGUGAACGACACGGCCCCGCCCGUCGACGACGCCGGCCACGGCACGCACACGGCCAGCACGGCGGCCGGCAAUUUCGUGGAGAACGCUGA